RNAcentral lists this ribosomal RNA (520 nucleotides) under uncultured Glomus. Its description in RNAcentral is "SSU rRNA". It matches the Rfam family "Eukaryotic small subunit ribosomal RNA", at positions 569 to 1084 of the family's 1831-position model. Lineage: Eukaryota; Fungi; Glomeromycota; Glomeromycetes; Glomerales; Glomeraceae. The record is from RNAcentral.
AGCAGCCGCGGUAAUUCCAGCUCCAAUAGCGUAUAUUAAAGUUGUUGCAGUUAAAAAGCUCGUAGUUGAAUUUCGGGGUCAGUAGGUUGGUCAUGCCUUCGGUAUGUACUGGUCUCACUGAUUCCUCCCUCUUGAAGAACUGUAAUGUCAUUAAUUUGGUGUUGCGGGGAAACAGGACUGUUACUUUGAAAAAAUUGAGUGUUUAAAGCAGGCUCACGCUUGAAUACAUUAGCAUGGAAUAAUGAAUAGGACGUUCGAUCCUAUUUUGUUGGUUUCUAGGAUUGACGUAAUGAUUAAUAGGGAUAGUUGGGGGCAUUAGUAUUCAAUUGUCAGAGGUGAAAUUCUUGGAUUUAUUGAAGACUAACUACUGCGAAAGCAUUUGCCAAGGAUGUUUUCAUUAAUCAAGAACGAAGUUAGGGAUCGAAGACGAUCAGNUACCGUCGUAGUCUUAACCAUAAACUAUGCCGACUAGGGACUCGGAUAGAUUAGUUUUAAUUUUUAGGNGUACUCGUAUUCGGCU